UAUGAUUAGUGGCGGACGGGUGAGUAACAUUUAGGAAUCUGCCUAGUAGUGGGGGAUAGCUCGGGGAAACUCGAAUUAAUACCGCAUACGACCUACGGGUGAAAGGGGGCGCAAGCUCUUGCUAUUAGAUGAGCCUAAAUCAGAUUAGCUAGUUGGUGGGGUAAAGGCCCACCAAGGCGACGAUCUGUAACUGGUCUGAGAGGAUGAUCAGUCACACCGGAACUGAGACACGGUCCGGACUCCUACGGGAGGCAGCAGUGGGGAAUAUUGGACAAUGGGGGCAACCCUGAUCCAGCCAUGCCGCGUGUGUGAAGAAGGCCUUUUGGUUGUAAAGCACUUUAAGCAGGGAGGAGAGGCUAAUGGUUAAUACCCAUUAGAUUAGACGUUACCUGCAGAAUAAGCACCGGCUAACUCUGUGCCAGCAGCCGCGGUAAUACAGAGGGUGCGAGCGUUAAUCGGAAUUACUGGGCGUAAAGCGAGUGUAGGUGGCUCAUUAAGUCACAUGUGAAAUCCCCGGGCUUAACCUGGGAACUGCAUGUGAUACUGGUGGUGCUAGAAUAUGUGAGAGGGAAGUAGAAUUCCAGGUGUAGCGGUGAAAUGCGUAGAGAUCUGGAGGAAUACCGAUGGCGAAGGCAGCUUCCUGGCAUAAUAUUGACACUGAGAUUCGAAAGCGUGGGUAGCAAACAGGAUUAGAUACCCUGGUAGUCCACGCCGUAAACGAUGUCUACUAGCCGUUGGGGUCCUUGAGACUUUAGUGGCGCAGUUAACGCGAUAAGUAGACCGCCUGGGGAGUACGGCCGCAAGGUUAAAACUCAAAUGAAUUGACGGGGGCCCGCACAAGCGGUGGAGCAUGUGGUUUAAUUCGAUGCAACGCGAAGAACCUUACCUGGUCU
This 893-nucleotide ribosomal RNA is filed under the name Faucicola osloensis. Its description in RNAcentral is "bacterial SSU rRNA". It matches the Rfam family "Bacterial small subunit ribosomal RNA", at positions 87 to 981 of the family's 1533-position model. Lineage: Bacteria; Pseudomonadati; Pseudomonadota; Gammaproteobacteria; Moraxellales; Moraxellaceae. The record is from RNAcentral.